Molecule: ribosomal RNA, 354 nt
Filed under: Onitis sp. sp80
Lineage: Eukaryota; Metazoa; Arthropoda; Insecta; Coleoptera; Scarabaeidae
Description: partial 28S ribosomal RNA
Source: RNAcentral
ACUUUGAAGAGAGAGUUCAAUAGUACGUGAAACCGUCCAGGGGUAAACCCGAGAAACCCGAAAGGUCGAAAGGGGAGAUUCAACGCGAGUAGGAGUUCGCGAGCGGCGCGCGUCUGUUGACGGCCAGCCCAGCUUCGGCAGUGGCAAAGUCGCGCGGCGCGUCGAACGAUCGGGCUCCGAACGCGUGCACUUCUCCUCCUGUAGGACGUCGUGAUCCGUUGGGCGCCGGCCAAAGGCCCGCGGUGGAGAUCGGACGCCCUAGACGCGUCCGUACCCGCGGUGUCCCGACCGGCUCGACCGACGGUAUAUCGGAUGGCGCGGGGCCGCGAACAAUUCGCGUCCGGCGCGUCGCAA